CAGCAGCCGCGGGAAUACGUAGGUGGCAAGCGUUGUCCGGAUUUAUUGGGCGUAAAGCGAGCGCAGGCGGUUUCUUAAGUCUGAUGUGAAAGCCCCCGGCUCAACCGGGGAGGGUCAUUGGAAACUGGGAGACUUGAGUGCAGAAGAGGAGAGUGGAAUUCCAUGUGUAGCGGUGAAAUGCGUAGAUAUAUGGAGGAACACCAGUGGCGAAGGCGGCUCUCUGGUCUGUAACUGACGCUGAGGCUCGAAAGCGUGGGGAGCGAACAGGAUUAGAUACCCCAGUAGUCCCUGUCUCUUAUAC
Molecule: ribosomal RNA, 301 nt
Filed under: uncultured bacterium
Lineage: Bacteria
Description: partial 16S ribosomal RNA
Rfam family: Bacterial small subunit ribosomal RNA
Source: RNAcentral